This is a long non-coding RNA of Salvia hispanica, 621 nucleotides long. RefSeq lists it as uncharacterized. The record is from RefSeq and is a predicted model, not a curated record. Lineage: Eukaryota; Viridiplantae; Streptophyta; Magnoliopsida; Lamiales; Lamiaceae.
AGAAAAUACUCCCUUCCAAACUCAUGUGUACUCCCUUUCCAUCAUCCACAAACAAAACUUUGAAAUUCUUUUUGAAAAGAAAAAGUAACGAACAUAACACUCUCCUUCCUAAAAUCCAUCGGCUACUCUCUCUCUCUCUACUGUUUCUUCCCAAACAUUGAACAAGAAUUUAAAACUCCAAACUUGAAACUCAGCACCCCUCCACAAAAUAAAUCCCGUCGGCUCUCACUCAAAAUCACAACACCAAAAGAACAGAAAAAUUUAAGCUCCGUCGCCCUGCACAAACCGAUCGGUCACCACCGCAGCUCCCUUCGUCGGCUCGCUGGUGGCACUCCGCACCCACCGUCGUCGCAGCAGCCACUGCGUCGCUGCUCCGGCAGCCCCAAACUCACCCCGAAGCGCAGCCCCGUUUUCCCAUUAAAGAUUUGGAAGAAGAACACGGUAGACUGGAGGAAAGAUCCGCGCUGGGAUCUUUUAAGAGAAGGCUUUGGGCUCAAGAAAAAGGAUCAAGGAUUAAUUAGAUAAAUUUGGCUCAUAAACCUUUGUAUUUUAUUUAAAUUGUGCAGCCCACAAUUUAUUCUUCGCAAUAUUUAAUUUGUUCUAUUUAUUUAAUUUAUCAAA